CUCUGUGCGUGUGGGUGUGUGUGUGUGUGUGUGUGUCUGCUCUGUGCUCUUCUGCCCGAUCCGACGUGUGUGUCUUUCGGUUGCUUGCUUGGGUUUAUUUCGUUUCGCCGGUGCUUCUCCGUUCUCGUCGGUCCCGCGCUCCACGUCUACCGACGCGCGGCUCCGGAGUGUGGCCGUGGGCUCCUGUCACCGAGAGCCGGGACGCGGGCUUUAAACCCUCCGCAGUCACACGAAACACACACACACACACACACACUCAGACACACACCGACACACACACACACUCAGACACACACACACACGCAAGCGAUCGAUGUACGUGUGACUCCGCGCCGGGAAUCGACUGAACGGCGCUACAAAGCAAAAGGCGCCCGACGGCAGCACAAAAUAAAAGGAAAUGUGAGCAAAGUGUCCGCGUGGAAGUGGCGGCGGAGCGGAGAGGAGCGGGGAACCGCCGCGGAAAGUGAAAGUGCAGUAGCAGCAGCAGGGCAGCGGAACACGGACGGACGCGGGAUGGACGGUGGAGGAACGCGAGGACGAGCCGAGCCGAGCCAAGGAGCCCACGGGGCGGUGUUCUCCCCCCCGGCCGGUCUCUGGCCGACCCGCGGGCUGGUCUACGGCGAUCUUUGGGCGGCCGCGCUGCUCCCAGCGCGCUCCCCUCCCUCCGACACUAUCGCGAAGAGCGCUCUGUCACCGGCUCUCUGGCUCUCUGGCUCCUGUCCUUUGCGCAGCGAUUCCCGGCACAAAGCACCAGCUGGUCGGUGUGUGAGGACGAAGCCCGAUGUAAACACAGGUGCACGCGCUUCAGGCAGCAGGCAUCUCCAGCGAGGCACGUGCGGAUGUACCUGUUCGGACGGAAGGCAUUUCGGCAUGGACCGUGCAGGAAACGUUGUGUGUGAGUGUGUGUGACAGGGGUGAGCAAUCGGCGUGAUGAUGAAGCGCUGAUGUGAGCUGUACGCUGGAGUGACUCCGCACUCCGCGUCACUCCUGCGCGCUCAUCAUCACACCUCAGCUGAUCACACAAACACUCCAGGAGUCACACCUCCAUUUUCACUUUUUAUUUUUUAUUUAUUUGUUUUUAUCCGGGAGCUCACGGGUGGCGGAAGAUAAACACGACACAAAUGCAGAAUGUACAGUUUAACAGUAGAAGCGGCGCGGAGCAGAACGUUUGUGUAACUUGAUUGAACCCACGUGGACAGGUGACCCUGAAAAAUACGAGUCCUAAAUGUAAAUGUAAUUUCGGAUUUCAGAAAUAUGAUCUCCGCUGGUUGGUUGUUCGAGCGUCGGAGUUUACGUGGGAGGAAGUGUCCUAUCUCUGAAAAAUUCGGUAAAAAAGCCAAGAAGAAAAUCAAGAUGAAUAUAUUUAAAUUCCGCGAUGUACAUUUGAUUAAGUUCUGAGCUGUAUUUUUUUUUUUCAUUACAUUGACUUAUCAGUCACUAUGCAUCAAGACAUUCACUGACUGCCGCCAAAAUAUGAUACAUACAACGCAAAGGGAGUGUGUCUGCGGUGCCGUGCGCGUGUUUCAUUCCACGCCGGUCUCGUGCGCGCGGCGCGCGGCCUGCCUUUCGAAGGAAAACGCAGAAGAUGUGAAAUCAUUUGCAGAUGAAGCUGCAGUCCGGUAAUGUUUCCCAAGUUUGACAGAAAAAAAGGGAAAAAUGAUGCUGGACGUUUUAGCCUGGCGAAUUUUAGGAUUUUGCAGCAUGAUUGCCGGUGAGGGAAGCUGAUUUUGAACGAAGCGCAAAUGCAAACGGGGAAAAAAGUUGCAUUUUCAAUAAACAAGCGGUUGUCUCAUCCGCA
Scleropages formosus (Asian bonytongue) is the source of this 1798-nucleotide long non-coding RNA. Lineage: Eukaryota; Metazoa; Chordata; Actinopteri; Osteoglossiformes; Osteoglossidae. The record is from Ensembl.